This 310-nucleotide non-coding RNA is filed under the name Nicotiana sylvestris (wood tobacco). RNAcentral describes it as "Eukaryotic small subunit ribosomal RNA". It matches the Rfam family "Eukaryotic small subunit ribosomal RNA", at positions 57 to 366 of the family's 1831-position model. The record is from Rfam by way of RNAcentral. Lineage: Eukaryota; Viridiplantae; Streptophyta; Magnoliopsida; Solanales; Solanaceae.
AUCAGAGUAUGAACAAAUUUAGACUGUGAAACUGUGAAUGGCUCAUUAAAUCAAUUAUAGUUUGUUUGAUGGUAUCUACUACUCGAAUAACCGUAGUAAUUCUAGAGCUAAUAUGUGCAACAAACCCCUACUUCUAGAAGGGAUGCAUUUAUUAGAUAAAAGGUCGAUGCGGGCUCUGCCCGUUGCUGUGAUGAUUCAUGAUAACUCGACGGAUCGCACGACCAUCGUGCUGGCAACGCAUCAUUCAAAUUUCUGCCCUAUCAACUGUCGAUGGUAGGAUAGUGGCCUACUGUUAGCCCCUAAUAAUGAG